Molecule: small nucleolar RNA, 165 nt
Filed under: Nannospalax galili (Upper Galilee mountains blind mole rat)
Lineage: Eukaryota; Metazoa; Chordata; Mammalia; Rodentia; Spalacidae
Description: Small Cajal body specific RNA 1 (ENSNGAG00000002056.1)
Rfam family: Small Cajal body specific RNA 1
About the family: scaRNAs are a specific class of small nuclear RNAs which localise to the Cajal bodies and guide the modification of RNA polymerase II transcribed spliceosomal RNAs U1, U2, U4, U5 and U12.
Source: Rfam by way of RNAcentral
CAACAAUUGAUACUAACUGAGCUAUCUAUAGCCUAGUCUUGUGACAGAGGCUUGUGGUAUGUUGUGCUAGCUGGGUUGAAAAAGUGAACAAUUAAAUCAAAAGCCAUAAGUCUUUUAAGUCCAGUGUGUAAAGACACAUUUUGGUUAUAACUCAGAGGCACAACU